Molecule: ribosomal RNA, 433 nt
Filed under: uncultured bacterium
Lineage: Bacteria
Description: partial 16S ribosomal RNA
Rfam family: Bacterial small subunit ribosomal RNA
Source: RNAcentral
AACGAACGCUGGCGGCAUGCCUAACACAUGCAAGUCGAACGAGACCUUCGGGUCUAGUGGCGCACGGGUGCGUAACGCGUGGGAACCUGCCCUUAGGUUCGGAAUAACUCCCCGAAAGGGGUGCUAAUACCGGAUAAUGUCUUCGGACCAAAGAUUUAUCGCCUUUGGAUGGGCCCGCGUUGGAUUAGCUAGUUGGUAGAGUAAAAGCCUACCAAGGCGACGAUCCAUAGCUGGUCUGAGAGGAUGAUCAGCCACACUGGGACUGAGACACGGCCCAGACUCCUACGGGAGGCAGCAGUGGGGAAUAUUGGACAAUGGGCGAAAGCCUGAUCCAGCAAUGCCGCGUGAGUGAUGAAGGCCUUAGGGUUGUAAAGCUCUUUUACCCGGGAUGAUAAUGACAGUACCGGGAGAAUAAGCUCCGGCUAACUCCGUG